CAGUCUGUGGUGAUGGCUUUUCACUCAAGCCCCUUUUACGCAGCACUUCUCUUAUGGAAAUAUUUCGCCUUUAUUCCGGAAUGACGUCUGUGUAAACGAAAUGGUGGGAUCAUUUGGUCCCACCUCUAUCACAGCUCUGUAACGCCUCUGGAGGUAGUAACACAGCUGUGGUAAAGGUGGAAUCAGGAUUCUGGAACACCUCUUGUUCAACAGCCAAGGUGUCGUUUUGAUGACGUAUUGCAUGUGCAAACCCCCGC
Long non-coding RNA from Sphaeramia orbicularis (orbiculate cardinalfish), 257 nucleotides. RefSeq lists it as uncharacterized. The record is from RefSeq and is a predicted model, not a curated record. The transcript is spliced from 4 exons. NCBI's taxonomy places the organism in Eukaryota, Metazoa, Chordata, Actinopteri, Kurtiformes, Apogonidae.